UACAGAGGGGGCGAGCGUUGUUCGGAAUUACUGGGCGUAAAGGGCGCGUAGGCGGCCCGCUAAGUCGAACGUGAAAUCCCCAGGCUCAACCUGGGAACUGCGUCCGAUACUGGCAGGCUUGAAUCCGGGAGAGGGAUGUGGAAUUCCAGGUGUAGCGGUGAAAUGCGUAGAUAUCGUAAGGAAGACCAGUGGCGAAGGCGGGUCUCUGGACAGUUCCUGACGCUGAAGCACGAAGGCCAGGGGAGCAAACGGG
This 253-nucleotide ribosomal RNA is filed under the name uncultured bacterium. RNAcentral's name for it is "partial 16S ribosomal RNA". It matches the Rfam family "Bacterial small subunit ribosomal RNA", at positions 524 to 776 of the family's 1533-position model. The record is from RNAcentral.